Molecule: unclassified non-coding RNA, 285 nt
Filed under: Hevea brasiliensis (rubber tree)
Lineage: Eukaryota; Viridiplantae; Streptophyta; Magnoliopsida; Malpighiales; Euphorbiaceae
Source: RNAcentral
CGAGAAGCUCGGCACCUCGCGCGAAGCCGUCGAGGCUGUGCUUGCGGUUCUGCAGAAGUUCGAUCCGCCGGGUGUGUGCGCGCGCAGCCUGAGCGAAUGUCUUGCGAUCCAGUUGCGUGAGCGUGAUCGUUACGAUCCCGCGAUGCAGGCACUGGUUGAAAAUCUCGAUCUGCUGGCGAAGCGCGACAUCGCGUCGUUGCGGAAGAUCUGCGGCGUCGAUGACNCAUCGCCGACAUGAUCGGCGAAAUCCGCCAUCUCGAUCCCAAGCCCGGCCUGAAGUUCGGA